This 497-nucleotide ribosomal RNA is filed under the name uncultured bacterium. Its description in RNAcentral is "partial 16S ribosomal RNA". It matches the Rfam family "Bacterial small subunit ribosomal RNA", at positions 28 to 507 of the family's 1533-position model. The record is from RNAcentral.
GAUGAACGCUGGCGGCGUGCCUAACACAUGCAAGUCGAGCGAACGGACGAGAAGCUUGCUUCUCUGAUGUUAGCGGCGGACGGGUGAGUAACACGUGGAUAACCUACCUAUAAGACUGGGAUAACUUCGGGAAACCGGAGCUAAUACCGGAUGAUAUUUUGAACCGCAUGGUUCAAAAGUGAAAGACGGUCUUGCUGUCACUUAUAGAUGGAUCCGCGCUGCAUUAGCUAGUUGGUAAGGUAACGGCUUACCGAGGCAACGAUGCAUAGCCGACCUGAGAGGGUGAUCGGCCACACUGGAACUGAGACACGGUCCAGACUCCUACGGGAGGCAGCAGUAGGGAAUCUUCCGCAAAGGGCGAAAGCCUGACGGAGCAACGCCGCGUGAGUGAUGAAGGUCUUCGGAUCGUAAAACUCUGUUAUUAGGGAAGAACAUAUGUGUAAGUAACUGUGCACAUCUUGACGGUACCUAAUCAGAAAGCCACGGCUAACUACGUG